GUGUUAAUGAGAUUAUUUUUAAACUUUAUUAUGGAUCGCUUUUACCUGGCGCAUGCGUAUAAAUUUGGAGCACCGUCAAUGUGUGGGGUUCAUUUGCCAACCGCCAAAAUUUCGUCCCAGUGGAAUCCUGGUCCGCCUCCUGUCGGACCUACGACAACACCUUCCAGAGGUGGUGCUCAAGUGCCAAACACAGCACCCCCUACUGCUGCUCCAGCACCCCCUCCACCUGACGUCACAGGGUCAGAUGACAGUAACAGCAAAGACAGUUCUUCCAAAGGUGACAUGGUUAAUUGUGAGGCAGAGGGGGUUUGGAGUCCGGAUAUUGAACAGAGUUUUCAAGAGGCACUGGCUAUCUAUCCGCCGUGUGGUCGACGAAAAAUUAUACUAUCCGACGAAGGUAAAAUGUAUGGUCGAAAUGAGCUCAUCGCCAGGUAUAUAAAACUCCGUACUGGGAAGACUCGAACUAGGAAGCAGGUCUCUAGUCACAUUCAAGUAUUGGCUCGGCGGAAAUCCCGCGAAAUUCAAUCAAAAUUGAAGGACCAGACUUCCAAGGAGGUGGCAUUGCAGUCGAUGUCAUCCAUGUCUUCUGCUCAGAUUGUAUCUUUGUUUCACUCCCAGGAUCAUGCUUCAAAGGAGAAAGCCCUCCAGUCACUAACUUCACUGUCAUCCGCCCAAAUUGUUUCUGCUUCUGCCAUCCAGAACAAGGCUGGUCUUUCCCUAGUUGGUCCUACUGUUAGCUAUCCAGGAGCAGCUUUUUGGCAAACAACAAUUGGUCAGCCAGGGACCUCAGAAGAUGUUAAACCAUUUUCUGCUCAGCCAUAUGGUAUGACCACCAAGCCAACAUUCUCAACAGUGGUUUCUGGGACAGACAUAUUAGCCCAAACCACACUAUCUCCAUGGGAAGGUCGUUCUAUUGCCACGCAUAAACUUCGUUUAGUUGAAUUUUCUGCUUUCAUGGAACAGCAACGAAACCAAGACUCGUACCACAAACACCUCUUUGUUCACAUAGGAGGUUUACCAGGUUACUCUGAUCCAAUAUUGGAAGCAGUUGAUAUUAGACAAAUUUAUGACAAGUUCCCAGAAAAAAAAGGUGGAUUAAAGGAGUUGUAUGAUAAAGGCCCCCAAAAUGCUUUCUUUCUGGUAAAGUUUUGGGCUGACCUUAACACUAGCAUUCAAGAAGAAACGGGAGCCUUCUAUGGAGUUACUAGCCAGUAUGAGAGCAGUGAAAAUAUGACAAUAACAUGUUCUACAAAAGUGUGCUCUUUUGGCAAGCAAGUGGUUGAAAAAGUCGAGAUUUUCUUUUUGCCUUGGAACAGACUGAAUAUGCUAGGUUUGAAAAUGGACGUUUUGUGUAUAGAAUACAGAGGUCACCAAUGUGUGAAUAUAUGAUCAACUUCAUUCAUAAACUCAAACAUCUUCCAGAGAAGUACAUGAUGAACAGUGUUCUGGAGAACUUCACAAUCCUUCAGGUGGUGACUAAUAGAGAAACCCAGGAAACGCUGUUGUGUAUUGCUUAUGUUUUUGAAGUGUCUACAAGUGAACAUGGUGCUCAGCAUCACAUCUAUCGACUGGUGAAAGACUAAGAAUUGACUUGGAGCACUGCAUCAUUCUGUCCAUCAUUACAUCAAGUGUCAUCCUUGUCCAUCUUAAUCUCCUGACAGUGCCUACUCUUGUAAGGUGGCUGCAGUUACACCUUUUAUAGUUGUUUGCAUUAGAUAAAACAUGUCCACUUGAAGUAGAAGAUUUAUUUUUACAUAUCCAACUAGAAGUGUCUACUUGUUAGCAUGACCAACAAUCUUCAUCUGGCCCUGUAGGACAGAAAUGAGCUAGAUUGAAGCCUGUUUGAUUUGUGAAGCUGAAGAAACUGUAUGUUUUAGAGCACAGCUUUGUAUGCUUGAAUGAGAAAGAAAACAUCUGACCUAAUCUUAUGUGAUCACACUGUUAACUUGUUUUUUCUUUUCUUGUAUUAUUUUUUUAUAUUUUACCUGCUUGUCACAUUCUAUUUUAUACUCUGUUAUUAAAUAUUAGAACUGUUAGUGUUGUAUGUUCUUUGUAUGGUAGAUGUACAGAAGGGUGUGUUGUGCUUUGCUUUUCUCAACUCAUGAACAGAAAUUCUGAGUAGAUAACUUUAUCAGUGUGUCACCCAGUUUCUUUGCCUAUAUUUUGAACUUUUGCAAUCCUCUUCAGUCACAACUGUAGUGUGUUAUAUGACUUACUUAUUAGAUUCGUUUCAUAAAGAUACGGUCAGUAGUGGUUGGUUAGCAAUCAGAUCUGUUAAUUUCUGUUUGAGAUACAUCAAACAAUAUGUAUGAAGUUCCAUUAGUAGUCCUUUUAAUAAGAAAAAAUUCAAAACUAAUAACCUAACAUUAAAGAUAUAAACCAUGAGCCUUAGUUUUAGAUUUGUUUUGUUUUUCUUGCAACAAAGACACUGUGAAUAGUUUAAUGCCAGAUCAGUAAUGGUUUUCAGUAAGUUUAGUGUGUGCCAUGUUCCUUAUUUAAGCAUAACACUAAUUGUACAUUUUUCUUAUGAUACUUUCUCAAGCUAGAAAGAAAAAGGUAACAUAAUGUAGAAUAGCUUAUACAAAUGUUGUUUUAUAAUAAUGUUAUUAUUUGUCUUUCAUAAUCAUGAGUGGAAGUGCUGCAUAAAAUCAAAUUUAGUGUAAGAAAUCUGACAUGAUGUUUUGUCUUCUGUGUCUGUCUUGUUCUUUAAAAGAUCCAAUACUUAAAUCAGUAUAAUACAUCAUCUUUUAAAAUUGAGAUAUCUAUAGCUUAUUAUGUUUUUUAAUCUGCCCUUUUCAGAGAAAAUCUGUUGUGACUGAAGUUUAUAAACUGUUUAACUAAACAAAUGAAUGCAAUCUAUUAAGUGUUUGCAAAUCCAAAUGACAACAGUUUGAUUUGAACAAGUUAUCUAUUUCUGGAGAAAUGUGGACUUCACCAACAAACCUGUCUAAAGUACAUUAAUUUGUCUUGUGUUCCAUCAGCAGCAAGUAUUAUAAUUCCAGGAUUAUCUAAAAGCAUAUGGUCUCUUAUGCUGUCUGCAAGACCUUUGGUUAAGCAAAAUAAAAAUAUUCAUUUGUUAGUCAUUGCUACUUAUUUUAAUCAAAAUCUUUCUAAUAAAUUCUUGAGUUCUUUCAGUGAAUAAGAUUAUGGAAAUACAAAUAAUAGGUCUUGCUACUGUCUUUGUGAUUUACUUUUAAGUUAUUUGCAUCUAUCUUUUAGUUGUCAGAUAUAUCAUCUGCAAUAAAGACUUCAUAAGAUUUCUUCUCAUGAUGUUAUAAUGAAAAUCUGUUUCCAGUGAGAUAACUUUUAGAGAAGAAAAACUUUAUCCUUUAAGAAAAUCAGUUUACAAUCAAAAUAAGAUCUAUUUCAUGAAUCAAGUUCCCUGAUUUAUGUACAAUUACAGAAAAUGUCAGUGAAUCAAUUGAUAAAUGUGUUUUGUAAUUCUCAUUUUAUUGUGGAAGAGGUGUUUGAGAAUAAGGAGUCAGAGAAUAUCCUUAACCCUUUGACUAUGGCUGCUUUGAAUGUGCACAGAAUUUUUGUGAGCUGUACACUGUAUACAGCACACUCGCAUUCAAUGGAUGGCGGACUGUACCCUAUACGGCGAAUCAGCAGUCAGAGGGUUAAAGAAUAAAAUCAAAGGUUUGAUCUCAAGAUUUAAUUGAACUUGUUUUCAGAAUUAAAUUACUUUUUCAUUGUUUUGUGCCUAAAAAAUAUUAGUUUAUUUUGCAUGAUAGGCUCAGGAAAUUACUCUUUUUCAUGUUUUGUUUUUCUAAAAUAACAAAAAUAUAAUACUAGGAUCUUUUCAUUAAAAUACUUCUACCAUAUGUUAUUUCAAUUUAAGAUCAUAAGUACAAAGGUUUAAACUAUUACCCAUAAGGCUUAGUUUUCAAUAUAAAAAAAAAAUGUUGAAUUUUAUUAUUCAUAACAUUAUUUGCUUAAAGAAUCAGCUUAUUGACUUGAUAAAGUGGUUUUGUUGACUGCUAUAUGUCGAGUGCCUGCAUUUUUUAUAUGCCUUGGCCAUGUUUUUAAUUGUGAAAGAAUAUGACGCUCCAAGAAGCUGAAGUUAAAUUUUAAUACUAUUUCUGAUGAAGCUUAGUAGCAUAAGCUCCUCAUGAAUCAUUGUUUAUAACCUUUAAAUUUUAUUCAAAUGAGACCUUGAGCUCAUGUUACAGUAAAACCAUUGUUAUCUAUUUACAUAUCUGAAAGUAACAUAAACCAAUUCUGCAGCAAAUUUGGAUCUUUUUUUUGUUGCUUCACUAAUGUUUCUGCUCUAAACAGAUUUCAUAGAAGUUUGUGAUGUAAUAUCUAUAAAGCUAUUUAGAAUAUAAAUGUUGUAUGUUAAAAAAAAGAUUUAUAUAUGUAGGGGUAUUCCUUGUAAAAUCACAAUUAUUUUAUUAGAGAAGCUAAAAACAGGUUAAGGGAUUAAAAUAAGCUUCAUGUUUUAUACUAUCUUUUUUGCUAGAUUUCCAGUUACUAAUAUUUACAUAAUAACCGAUAUCUGUAAAAUAACAGAUAAUUUGGUUGCCAAGUGCAUUAGAAUCAAAUGAUCAAAAUAGUUUAAUGUCACAUAGCUGUAACAUAGUUACUGUAGUCUCAUAAACUUGUGUCUACAAUAGUUGUAUAAUAUGAAAGUUUUUUGCAAACAUUUAAUUAUUUGGAAGGAACUUUCAAACUACCAAGAUUGAAAGAAGUUACUAAUGCUUUAAAGGCCCUAUCAUUGUUGGCAGCUAUCGCCUCAUUAACUAAAGUUGUUUACUAAACUCUUAAAACACCUAUUGAAUAAACCUUCUUUUUCUGUUUUGUAAAUAUUAUGCAUGGAAUGUACAGAUGGUAAAAUGGUUAGUAUUAGUAGCAAUAUUGAGGUAAUACAAGUUGAAUUUACUUGUAAUUGUACUGCUGAAAUCAGUUAACACAUACUGGAUAAAUUACAACCAGAAUAUGCUUUGUGUAGUUUCUAGUACCUAAAUCUCCAUUAAAAGUAACUAGUGAACAUGUUAUCAAAUUCUUGAUAAUUUUUUCUGCUACCAAAAAAUGUAUAAUAAAUUUAAUUGUUUGAACUUUUAUAUUUGAAUUCUGAAUCAUUUUGUGUGUUUAGUAUUCAUACAGUUAUUUAAAUUCUGAGUAUAAAAAUCUCGGCAAAUAUGAUUAUCAACAUAUAACAGAAAAAAAUUGUUUAGAAAUUUCAAGUAAGAUUUUUAGAAUGUGAAAAUAUUUUGGUAUUAUUUUGAGAAAGAAACUUCCUAAACCUUUUAAUCUAAUUAUCCUCUGACGUGAAACAACAUGCUUGGGAUGCUUGAAGAUUAAAAUAAUAAGAUUUUGAUAACAAAUUGAAACAAAUAUAUAAUGGUUAUUUUUAAUGGAGAACAACUGAAAAGUUAUUUAAUUAUUUUUUCUUUGAUUACUUUUUAUGUUUAAGAUUGUACACAAAAAUACUGUAAAUAUGCAUUUUCUCAAAUGGAAAAGGGGCAGCCAUUUCCCUAACUGCACCUUUUUAAGAAAGUUAUUUUCCUCUAUGUAUUUUGAGCAUUUUAAAGAAUGUUUUUUAUCAUUGGAAAGGAUUAAUUAUAAUAAGAGAAUUGUAGGUUUUUUUUUUUAUCUAUGAAAAUUUUAGAAAAGAGCUGUGCUCUAAAUCUUGUUGGAUAAUGUAAUUAUUGAUGUGAAGAAAAGAAGAAUCUGUAAAUUGUCAUAUAAAAUUUUGGAAUUUGUGAUGUAAUCAGCUAGUUUUUAUAACAAUGGCAGCUUCCCCGGUUGUGUCUGAAAUUUGAUUUAAUUUUUAGGCUAAUUUCAAAAAAAAAAGAUUCUGUGUGAACAUUUAUUUCAAAAAACUUCUUUCUUUGUUCUACAUAAUGCGCAAUAAACAUGUCUUGUUUGAA
This 5873-nucleotide unclassified non-coding RNA is filed under the name Limulus polyphemus (Atlantic horseshoe crab). Its description in RNAcentral is "transcriptional enhancer factor TEF-1-like, transcript variant X2". The record is from RNAcentral. Lineage: Eukaryota; Metazoa; Arthropoda; Merostomata; Xiphosura; Limulidae.